AAAAGCACAGUGAAUUGGUAAGUAUAUGCGUCAGUUUUUUUUGACAGAGAGCUUCGGCAGCUGAAAAGAAGCAAAAAAACACGGAUAGAAAAUGGCCAAGGAGUGAUUCGUCCCGAGCAGAUACCUGCAAGGCGGCGACGGCAGCGACCGUUACCUCGCUAGAGUAUGAAUGUACUUGAAGAGGAAUCUUGCGUGAGCAAGGUUUGAACAGAGGUGGUAACACGCAAAAAGCGUCCUCAAG
Non-coding RNA from Enterococcus sp., 241 nucleotides. NCBI's taxonomy places the organism in Bacteria, Bacillati, Bacillota, Bacilli, Lactobacillales, Enterococcaceae. The record is from Rfam.